Molecule: ribosomal RNA, 506 nt
Filed under: uncultured Lachnospiraceae bacterium
Lineage: Bacteria; Bacillati; Bacillota; Clostridia; Lachnospirales; Lachnospiraceae
Description: bacterial SSU rRNA
Rfam family: Bacterial small subunit ribosomal RNA
Source: RNAcentral
AGACGUUUUGUAGUCCUGGCUCAGGAUGAACGCUGGCGGCGUGCUAACACAUGCAAGUCGAAGGACUUAAUUUGAAACCUAGUGAUAAUUAAGUGAGUGGCGGACGGGUGAGUAACGCUGGAUAACCUGCCGUAUGCAGGGGGAUACCAACUGGAAACAGUUGCUAAUACCGCAUAAGCGCACGGUGUCGCAUGACACAGUGUGAAAAGGUUUAACGGCAUACGAUGGAUCCGCGUCCGAUUAGCCAGUUGGCGGGGUAACGGCCCACCAAAGCGACGAUCGGUAGCCGGCCUGAGAGGGCGGACGGCCACAUUGGGACUGAGACACGGCCCAAACUCCUACGGGAGGCAGCAGUGGGGAAUAUCGCACAAUGGGGGAAACCCUGAUGCAGCGACGCCGCGUGAGUGAAGAAGUAUUUCGGUAUGUAAAGCUCUAUCAGCAGGGAAGAAAGGUGCCCCUUGGGCGCCUGGACGGUACCUGACUAAGAAGCCCCGGCUAACUACGUG